Odontomachus brunneus is the source of this 912-nucleotide long non-coding RNA. RefSeq lists it as uncharacterized. The transcript is spliced from 4 exons. The record is from RefSeq and is a predicted model, not a curated record. Lineage: Eukaryota; Metazoa; Arthropoda; Insecta; Hymenoptera; Formicidae.
GCGCGAUUUGAUAUAGCGCGAGUUGGAGCUCCUGAGAAAAGAUACAGGAAACGCGUCACUGGCGCACCCUGCUGAUGCGAGAAAUGUGAUCAUGUCUCGUGUCGUUUGCCAUCUGGCUUUUUGAGAAAUUCAUUAUGGCGGCUCUAUUAUGGCAACGGAAACUGGAAAAAACGAUGGAAAAAUUCGUACGUGACUUCCUAUACGCCACACAAUUACUCAAAUCGGCUCCAAAAUAAUCAACUCAAGAUUCUUAAGGUCGCUGAUUACGACCUUAAGACCUUAAAUGCACCCUUUAUGCAUUUGCGAAUCAAUUGAGAUCUUCUGGAAUAUUAUCAUUAGAUUCAACAAUAAGCGCUCUAAGGAAAUUGGUACUCCUUGAGGAACAUUGGAAUACCGUUUUAUCAAUAAUGUUAUCAAUAAUUUUAUCAAUAACGGUGAUUUUAAAUGUUCUGACAAAGAUACAAUUAACCGUAAAAACUAUACAACAUGAUAUUAAUUUAAUAAAAUAAAAAUUAUUUGGAUACGAAAUGGGCCAACUCGAAACAGCUUUGAAGCAACAUGGUUUGGACAUUCCUUUUAUUAAUUUAAACCAAUGGACCUUAUUUGAAGCCUUGGUUGAGGAGAAUAAAACAGUUAACAAUUGUUUUAUUAAUAUUAUUGAGUUAUGCUUGGAUAAAAUUUCUAAUAAUCCAACGAAGAGUAUAACAAAUAUAUUAAAAAAAAUAAUGACGCAAAACCUUGCAAUGCAAUUUACGGCAGUAAAAACAAGCAAUACAAAGGAGAAUAUUUUUAAGGACCAGAAAUCAUUCCCGCUUAAAUUUCUACACAAGUUCACGUGCAGAAACAGCUGAUUUUUCAGCUCGACGGAGUUUCUGCGGCGGAAAAUACGUAAUGUGCUAAACGUGCGUUAUC